Pipistrellus kuhlii (Kuhl's pipistrelle) is the source of this 207-nucleotide long non-coding RNA. RefSeq lists it as uncharacterized. Lineage: Eukaryota; Metazoa; Chordata; Mammalia; Chiroptera; Vespertilionidae. The transcript is spliced from 2 exons. The record is from RefSeq and is a predicted model, not a curated record.
ACCUGCAGAUGAGACCAGUGCAAACACUUCCAGCAUCACCUCGCAGUACAGGAGUCUCUGAGCCUCAUCCAGGAGCCCCCACUCCUCCUGGGAGAAGGCGACGGCCACGUCCUCAAAGUCCAUCUCCUGUGCUGGACGAUGUUUCUGUCUCAUCAAUGUUUCUGGCUUUCUGUCUCUCUCCCUUCCUCUCUGUAAAAAAAAAUCAAU